RNAcentral lists this ribosomal RNA (119 nucleotides) under Pteropus alecto (black flying fox). The record is from RNAcentral. Lineage: Eukaryota; Metazoa; Chordata; Mammalia; Chiroptera; Pteropodidae.
GUCUACGACCACACUACCCUGAAUAUGCCCAAUUUCGACUGAUCUCGGAAGCUAAGCAGGGUUGCACCUGGUUAGUACUUGGUUGGGAGACCACCUAGGAAGACCAGAUGCUGUAGGCG